Molecule: long non-coding RNA, 2471 nt
Filed under: Capsicum annuum
Lineage: Eukaryota; Viridiplantae; Streptophyta; Magnoliopsida; Solanales; Solanaceae
Description: long non-coding RNA (CANN_LNC013427)
Source: RNAcentral
UUUUCUAUCUGUGAGGUGAAACACAAUAAUCCAAUUGAUAGAUGAUAAACAUAACUAUAGUAACAUAUUAUGUAACGAUCUCAAAUCUAAUGCAUGCAUUUCUUUCCUAUACUUUGCUCUUUAAUAAUUCUGUGCAUCUCACGUGCUCUACAAAGGCAAAUAGAUCUACUAGGUUCAUAACAUAUCAUAUGAGUGUGACCCAUAAUUAAAUUCCAUUAUUGUAGUACUAUGUUUUGUAGUAUGGUGACAAAUGUACGUUGCAUCAAUUAGUGAGACUAUAGGACAAAUUUUUUGGGACACAAUGGCAUUGCCAUAUUUUAGGAGAUUUUCUAAUAGUGCUACUUUGUUAUGGAUGUUGUCGAGGUUGGGUUUCGGAUCUAGAGUCAAGGUAGGUUCUAAAAUUGAGAAUUGAGAUCGCAUCCCAGGUGAGGAGUCGAGGUUGAGUUCUGAAUUUCUUAUCAUGAAUCGGAAUCUAAGGUUGUGGUCGCGUAUGAUGUUAUUAGUAUUUAUCUAGAUUAUAUUUAUUGUAUUAUUUUCAAGAAUAUGUUGACAAGUGUGCGUUGCUUCAAUUAGUGAACAUAGGACAAAAUUUUUGGGACACAAUGACAUUGCCAUGUUUUAGGAGAUUUUCUUCUAGUGCUAGUUUUGCUAAGGAUGUUUUGACACAAUAGGCAAAGAAGAAGCAACAAAAGUGCCAUAAUUGGCGUUGAGAUCGGGUCCCGAAUCAGGAGUCGGGUUGGUUCUCGGAUCGAGAAUCAAGACUAGAUCCCAGGUGAGGAGUCGGGGUUGGGUCCUGAAUCUCAUAUCACGAGUCAGAAUUUAAGACCAUGAUCAAAUAUGAUGUUAUUGGUAUUAACCUAAAUUAUAUCUAUUGGACUAUUUUCAAGUGUAUCUUGACAAGUGUACGUUGCUCCAAUAAGUGAGACUAUAGGACAAAGUUUGGGACACAAUGGCAUUGCCAUAUUUUAGGGAAUUUUCUUCUGGUGCUACAAGAUGUUUUGACAGAAUAGGCAAAGUUGAAGAAGCAACAAAGGGCCAUAAUUGGUGUCGGAGGUCGGUCCCGGAUCGAGAGUCAGUGUAGGUUCUCGGAUUGAGAAUCGAAAUUGGAUCUCAGGUGAGGAGUCGGGGUUGAUUCUUGAAUCCCGUAUCAUGAAUCAGGAUCUAAGAUCGUAAAUCAAGUCUCAUAACAUCAGUAUUUGUCUAGAUUAUAACCGUUGUACUAUUUUUAAGAGUAUGUUGACAAGUGUAAGUUGCUUCAAUUAGAGAGACUAUAGGACAAAUUUUGGGACAAUAUUUGCAAUGAAUGUUCUGACACGGUAGGCAAAGAAGAAGAAGCAACAAAGGGCCAUAAUUGGUGUCGAGGUCAGGUCCUGGGUCGAUAGUCGGGUAGGUUCUCGAAUCAAGAAUCAAAAUUGAAUCUCAAGCGACCAGGGUUGGAUCAUGAAUCCCAUAUCCCGAGUCAAAAUUUAAGAUCGUGGUCGAGCCUGAUGUCAUUGGGUUGGAUCUUGAGUUCAGUAUCACGAGUCGAACUUUAAGAUCGUGGUCGAACCUAAUGUCAUUAGUAUGUACUAUAUUUUUAUUUUGGUUUCUCAUUUGGUAUCCAAUACUCGCAUUAGAGUUCAACUAAUUCAGAUUUGCACUGCGUAAGGUAUGUAUUAUACGUUUUUUUGGUUUUUCAUUCGAUUUUCGAUACCCGCAUUGAAAUUCGACUAAUCCAGAUUCGCGCCAUGUAGGGUCCAUUCGGGGGAAGCACUCCCUACCAAAAAAUUUUCUAUACCCAAACGAGCUUUUACCCUUCUGUCCACACGAGAUUUUUAUUCUCGUUGAGAUGAUCCGAAUCAUUUUUAGAUCAAAUUGGUGUGCUAUAACCCGUAAUUUUUUGGGUGUGCUCGGAGCCCGUGCGUGAAAUAAGUCAAAAUUCGAGGCUUAAAUUCAAGAUAUCUCAUUAAGAAAAGAGAAAUUUUAUCCGUUGCUAUUAGUAUGUACUAUAUUGACAGGUGUAAGUUGCUCCAAUUAGUGAAAGGAUAAGGACAAAAUUUUUGGGACACAAAUGGGAUUGCCAUAUUUUAGGGGAUUUUCUUCUUGGUGCUAGCUUUGCUAAGGAUGUUUGGACAUAAUAGGCAAAGUGGAAGAAGCAGCAACAGAAAGGGCCAUAAUUGGUGUCAGAACAACUACUGUAGUCUAAGAUGGUCCUUGCUAUCUUGUGUCUCAUCAUGCCAUGUCCAUGGUACGGCUUUUUGUUGUUACUUAUAAGUAAGUAGUUGUUGUCGGGAAUAAAUUAUGUUGAAAUAAUUUAUUUUUGGAUUGUUAUUUCACUUUUAUGAAGGAUAAAAAUAGUUAUAUCGCAUUUAUGAUCUUCAACUUUUAAUAUGUAUAAAUAAAUAUUUAAAUUCAUAUAAAGUUAAAUAAGUAGACACACACAUUUUAUGUGGUAUAAUAUACGUAGGAUGUCAUGUAAGAUAAGAAUUGAA